RNAcentral lists this ribosomal RNA (386 nucleotides) under uncultured bacterium. RNAcentral's name for it is "bacterial SSU rRNA". It matches the Rfam family "Bacterial small subunit ribosomal RNA", at positions 355 to 757 of the family's 1533-position model. The record is from RNAcentral.
UGGGGAAUAUUGCACAAUGGGCGAAAGCCUGAUGCAGCAACGCCGCGUGAGCGAUGAAGGCCUUUGGGUCGUAAAGCUCUGUCCUAGGGGAAGAAUAAAUGACGGUACCCUUGGAGGAAGCCCCGGCUAACUACGUGCCAGCAGCCGCGGUAAUACGUAGGGGGCAAGCGUUAUCCGGAAUUAUUGGGCGUAAAGAGUGCGUAGGUGGUUUUGUAAGCGCGGGGUGAAAGGCAAUAGCUCAACUAUUGUAAGCCCUGCGAACUGUGAGACUUGAGUGCAGGAGAGGAGAGCGGAAUUCCUAGUGUAGCGGUGAAAUGCGUAGAUAUUAGGAGGAACACCAGUGGCGAAGGCGGCUUUCUGGACUGUAACUGACACUGAGGCACGAA